AGGGUUUGACCCCGGCUCAGAAUCAACGCUGGCGGCGCGCUUAGCACAUGCAAGUCGAGCGAGAAAGGGGAGCAAUCCCUGAGUAAAGUGGCGUACGGGUGAGUAACACGUGGAUUAUCUACCUUUUAGUGGGGAACACCGUUGGGAAACCGACGACAAUACCGCAUAAUCCCGAGAGGGGAAAGCAGCAAUGCGCUGAAAGAGGAGUCCGCGGUCGAUUAGCUAGUUGGUAGGGUAAAAGCCUACCAAGGCUGAUCGAUAGCCGGCCUGAGAGGGCACACGGCCACACUGGCACUGAAACACGGGCCAGACUCCUACGGGAGGCAGCAGUGGGGAAUCUUGCACAAUGGGGGAAACCCUGAUGCAGCGACGCCGCGUGAGCGAUGAAGCCCUUCGGGGUGUAAAGCUCUUUCGGCAGGGACGAUAAUGACGGUACCUGCAGAAGCAGCUGCGGCUAACUACGUGCCAGCAGCCGCGGUAAUACGUAGGCAGCAAGCGUUGUUCGGAGUUACUGGGCGUAAAGGGUGCGUAGGCGGUCCUAUAAGUAUGGUGUGAAAUCUCCCGGCUUAACUGGGAGGGUGCGCUAUAGACUGUGGGACUAGAGUGUGGGAGAGGAAAGUGGAAUUCCAGGUGUAGCGGUGAAAUGCGUAGAUAUCAGGAGGAACACCGGCGGUGUAAACGGCUUUCUGGACCAUAACUGACGCUGAGGCACGAAAGCGUGGGUAGCAAACAGGAUUAGAUACCCUGGUAGUCCACGCCUUAAACGAUGAGAGCUAGUUGUCAGUAAGCAUGCUUAUUGGUGACGCAGCUAACGCAUUAAGCUCUCCGCCUGGGGAGUACGGCCGCAAGGUUAAAACUCAAAGAAAUUGACGGGGGCCCGCACAAGCGGUGGAGCAUGUGGUUUAAUUCGAAGCAACGCGCAGAACCUUACCCACCUUUGACAUCCCGUGCUAUCUAGAGAGAUCUAGAGUCCCUUCGGGGCGCGGAGACAGGUGCUGCAUGGCUGUCGUCAGCUCGUGUCGUGAGAUGUUGGGUUAAGUCCCGCAACGAGCGCAACCCUCGCUUCUAGUUGCCAGCAUUUAGUUGGGCACUCUAGAGGAACUGCCUGCGCCAAGCAGGAGGAAGGCGGGGAUGACGUCAAGUCCUCAUGGCCCUUACAGGUGGGGCUACACACGUGCUACAAUGGCGGUGACAAAGGGAUAAUCCCUAAAAGCCGUCUCAGUUCGGAUUGUCCUCUGCAACUCGAGGGCAUGAAGUUGGAAUCGCUAGUAAUCGCGGAUCAGCACGCCGCGGUGAAUACGUUCCCGGGCCUUGUACACACCGCCCGUCACACCAUGGGAGUUGGUUCUACCUGAAGACGGUUUCCCAACCGCAAGGAGGGGACCGGCUACGGUAGGGUCAGCGACUGGGGUGAAGUCGUAACAAGGUA
Molecule: ribosomal RNA, 1429 nt
Filed under: metagenome
Description: bacterial SSU rRNA
Rfam family: Bacterial small subunit ribosomal RNA
Source: RNAcentral